This is a non-coding RNA of Malus domestica (apple), 820 nucleotides long. NCBI's taxonomy places the organism in Eukaryota, Viridiplantae, Streptophyta, Magnoliopsida, Rosales, Rosaceae. The record is from RefSeq and is a predicted model, not a curated record.
AGGAAAACAGAGAGUUAUCUCCAAGUUUUUUGCGCUGGCUUGGUGAGCGCAACCUGUCUACCGAUGACCGUGUAAUGCGCCUCAAAGAAGGGUAUAUUAAAGAGGGCAGCACUGUAAGUGUGAUUGGGGUUGUCAGACGCCACGAUAAUGUGGUCAUGAUUGUUCCUCCAACGGAGCCUGUGUCAACAGGCUUUCAAUGGUUUCGCUGCCUUCUCCCGACCUAUGUUGAAGGUCUCAUUCUGACGUGCGAUGAUAAUCAGAAUGCUGAUGUCGUUCCUGUGUAGAUAUAUUCAGUUUCAUGAUAGUUGUUUUUAGAAGUGGGAUUUGCAUGUAAAAAUAUGAAAGGCCGAAACCGUAGGAAAAAGCACAUACGACAACCGGCUCUGUUCUUUCCUUUCGUGGUUAAGUGUAUGUAAGCCUAAAGAUGCAGUUCAGAAAGACUGAAGAUAUAUAGCUUACUCUGGAUUAAUAUGCUGUGAAGGUGGUAAUGUAAUAGGGCAAAAAGGCCCGACGACCACCCUUUGAAGAAGUUUGUAGAUGAUGUAACGUUGGAAAUCAGGAAGCUCUGAUUUCGUGUACAUAAGUCAUAGCUUCAUAGAGUGCCCAAAGGGGUUCCGGCCGGCUGCCUUUCGUCUGAUGCUCGAUUGCAGUACACAAAGUAGUUACUAGGGUUUCUGUGGUUUCCUUUUUUUUUGUUAUAAACCGUCCGGCCUCACGUGUAUUUGUAUUUCAUCUUGUAAUGUGUAUUGUUUGUGACAAGAAGGAAAUGUUAAUAUUCUACUAAGCAUGGGAUUAUGUAGCGUUAAUGUUUCGUGUCCAA